Molecule: long non-coding RNA, 341 nt
Filed under: Lepisosteus oculatus (spotted gar)
Lineage: Eukaryota; Metazoa; Chordata; Actinopteri; Semionotiformes; Lepisosteidae
Description: lncRNA (ENSLOCG00000021308.1)
Source: RNAcentral
UGACACACUGAGUGACAGUACACUGACACAGUGAGAUAAUUGACACACUGAGUGACAGUACACUGACAUACUCACAAGUUCCCCAGACUUUACAACACAGAAGAGAGUGGAUUGGAAAGAGAAAACAGAAACAGGAACGAAAACAUUUGAGCCCUUCCUUCUCCCAGGUGCCCCAGUCUGUCAGCAGAUGGCAGCUGGACUGUGAUGUAGAUCCUCUCAGCGAGUGAGAGGAGGAGCUCGAAACAUGAACCCCUGGGUGUUAAAAACUCCAUACCUUGAUCACGGUGUCUCUGUCCAUCUGGGAUCUCCUGUGUGUGUCUCUGUCCAUCUGGGAUCUCCUC